This 483-nucleotide ribosomal RNA is filed under the name uncultured bacterium. Its description in RNAcentral is "bacterial SSU rRNA". It matches the Rfam family "Bacterial small subunit ribosomal RNA", at positions 15 to 507 of the family's 1533-position model. The record is from RNAcentral.
GAUCAUGGCUCAGGAUGAACGCUAGCGGCAGGCCUAACACAUGCAAGUCGAGGGGCAGCAUAAACAGCUUGCUUGUUUGGUGGCGACCGGCGCACGGGUGCGUAACGCGUAUGCAACCUACCCUGUACUGGGGGAUAGCCCGGAGAAAUUCGGAUUAAGACCCCAUAGCACUUAAGAAUGGCAUCAUUCAUAAGUUAAAGGUUACGGUACAGGAUGGGCAUGCGUCCCAUUAGCUAGAUGGUAAGGUAACGGCUUACCAUGGCAACGAUGGGUAGGGGGCCUGAGAGGGUGGUCCCCCACACUGGUACUGAGACACGGACCAGACUCCUACGGGAGGCAGCAGUGAGGAAUAUUGGUCAAUGGGCGCAAGCCUGAACCAGCCAUGCCGCGUGCAGGAAGACGGUCCUAUGGAUUGUAAACCUCUUUUUUCAGGGAGGAACAAAAUGACGUGUACCUGAAGAAUAAGCAUCGGCUAACUCCGUG